UCCCCUGUAGCUCAGUUGGUAAAGAAUCUGCCUGCAAUGCAGGAGACCUGGGUUUGAUUCCUGGGUUGGGAA
This 72-nucleotide transfer RNA is filed under the name Ovis aries (sheep). It matches the Rfam family "tRNA". From Rfam's summary of the family: Transfer RNA (tRNA) molecules are approximately 80 nucleotides in length. Their secondary structure includes four short double-helical elements and three loops (D, anti-codon, and T loops). The record is from Rfam by way of RNAcentral. Lineage: Eukaryota; Metazoa; Chordata; Mammalia; Artiodactyla; Bovidae.